GGCGAACGCUGGCGGCGUGCUUAACACAUGCAAGUCGAACGGAAAGGCCUGCUUUCCCUUGUGGAUUGCGGGUACUCGAGUGGCGAACGGGUGAGUAACACGUGAGUGAUCUGCCCCCAACUUGGGUAUAAGCCUGGGAAACUGGGUCUAAUUCCCGAUAGGACUGCAGGGUGGUGCCUGUGGUGGAAAACGAUUUUCUAGUGGUUGGGGAUGAGCUCGCGGCCUAUCAGCUUGUUGGUGGGGUAAUGGCCUACCAAGGCGGCGACGGGUAGCCGGCCUGGGAGGGUGGACGGCCACAUUGGGACUGAGAUACGGCCCAGACUCCUACGGGAGGCAGCAGUGGGGAAUAUUACACAAUGGGCGGAAGCCUGAUGCAGCGACGCCGCGUGGGGGAUGACGGCCUUCGGGUUGUAAACUCCUUUCGACCGCGAGGAAGCCACCUGGUUGGAAGGGUGGUGACGGUAGUGGUAGAAGAAGCACCGGCUAACUACGUG
This 494-nucleotide ribosomal RNA is filed under the name uncultured bacterium. Its description in RNAcentral is "partial 16S ribosomal RNA". It matches the Rfam family "Bacterial small subunit ribosomal RNA", at positions 28 to 507 of the family's 1533-position model. The record is from RNAcentral.